AUCAACGCUGGCGGCGUGCCUAACACAUGCAAGUCGAACGAGAAAGUGGGUGCAAUCCCAUGAGUACAGUGGCGAACGGGUGAGUAACACGUGACUAACCUACCUUCCAGUGGGGGAUAACCUCGGGAAACCGGGGCUAAGACCGCAUAAACUCGCGAGGUGAGAAUCCUAGUGAGCAAAGGGGUAAGACGCUGGUAGAGGGGGUCGCGGCCGAUUAGCUAGUUGGCGGGGUAACGGCCCACCAAGGCGAUGAUCGGUAGCCGGCCUGAGAGGGCGCACGGCCACACUGGAACUGAAACACGGUCCAGACUCCUACGGGAGGCAGCAGUGGGGAAUUUUGCACAAUGGGGGAAACCCUGAUGCAGCAACGCCGCGUGGAGGAUGAAGUCCCUUGGGACGUAAACUCCUUUCGACCGGGACGAUAAUGACGGUACCGGUGGAAGAAGCCCCGGCUAACUCCGU
Molecule: ribosomal RNA, 462 nt
Filed under: uncultured bacterium
Lineage: Bacteria
Description: bacterial SSU rRNA
Rfam family: Bacterial small subunit ribosomal RNA
Source: RNAcentral